GGGUGAGUAACACGUGGGCAACCUGCCUCGAAGAGGGGGAUAACACCGAGAAAUCGGUGCUAAUACCGCAUAACAUACAAUUGCCGCAUGGUAAUUGUAUCAAAGGAGCAAUCCGCUUUGAGAUGGGCCCGCGGCUGAUUAGCUAGUUGGUAAGGUAAAGGCUUACCAAGGCGACGAUCAGUAGCCGACCUGAGAGGGUGACCGGCCACACUGGAACUGAGACACGGUCCAGACUCCUACGGGAGGCAGCAGUGGGGAAUAUUGCGCAAUGGGGGAAACCCUGACGCAGCAACGCCGCGUGGAGGAAGAAGGCCUUCGGAUUGUAAACUCCCGUCUUCCGGGACGAUAAUGACGGUACCGGAGGAGGAAGCCACGGCUAACUACGUGCCAGCAGCCGCGGUAAUACGUAGGUGGCGAGCGUUGUCCGGAAUUACUGGGCGUAAAGGGCGCGUAGGCGGCUCUUUAAGUUAGAUGUGAAAACCCAGGGCUUAACUCUGGGACUGCAUUUAAAACUGAAGGGCUCGAGUGCAGGAGAGGUAAGUGGAAUUCCUAGUGUAGCGGUGAAAUGCGUAGAUAUUAGGAGGAACACCAGUGGCGAAGGCGACUUACUGGACUGUAACUGACGCUGAGGCGCGAAAGCGUGGGGAGCAAACAGGAUUAGAUACCCUGGUAGUCCACGCCGUAACGAUGAGUGCUAGGUGUAGAGGGUAUCGACCCCUUCUGUGCCGCAGUUAACACAAUAAGCACUCCGCCUGGGGAGUACGGCCGCAAGGUUGAAACUCAA
Molecule: ribosomal RNA, 784 nt
Filed under: uncultured bacterium
Lineage: Bacteria
Description: bacterial SSU rRNA
Rfam family: Bacterial small subunit ribosomal RNA
Source: RNAcentral